ACAGAUCCCCCUUUGAAAAUCCUAGCCGCCUGGUCUCUUUCCUCACUCGCCCAUUCCCUUUUACGCAAAAAGAAGCCGAGAAUUCGCCAUCAUGCACACACAUCUCACCUAUGAAAAAAGUUAAAACAAAAUCCCUGAAUUCCCAUUUUUCUACAUCCGGAUCUGAAGAAGAAAAACGAAAAAAAAAGAUUAAAAAGGUUUUCUGAUUUUUGUUGUGUUACUUGGAGAAUUUAUGGGUUUCUCAUUUGUUUUUGGAUUGAAGUUGAGGUCGACAUUGUUGUUCUUCUGCGGUUUGCUAUCAAAAUCGUAGCUGAACUUCCUUUAUCUCCAUUUCUGCCCUUUAUCAACUGUUUCAAGCUCUAUUUGUCAAGUAUUUUAGGUACACAUUUCUGAAUCUGUACUAUUUCUCCAUAAAAAUGGCUGAAAUCAUGAAUGAAUUUGUUUCUGAUGUUCCAUCUCCAUUUAUGUGACUGUUUUUCUUAAUAAAUUGCUCAUUAUAUUUAUAUAUGAUUUUGUUAACGAACCAAAGGGACGGCUGCCCGUUUCAAUUAAGUUUAGACCAUUGGAGUCUUGUUAAAUAUUAGUUAAUUGAGAUUAUUUUUUUUUUUCGAAAUUGUUAAUGGGCUUUAGGUGUAUGCAUACUAGUUAACAGUAAUAUUUAUCACAGUCUCUACUUCGUUGCCUAAUGCUAAAAUUUGGUGUAUGUAUAUUUUUUACAGGGAUCUACUCACUUAUGGAUUAAGCUGUUGUUUGAAUUUUGAAGCUGCAAAAAUUCAAGCAUUGUUAGGCGUUAGCUGCAGGACAAACAUUUCUGUGUAGUCUGCUCACUUAUGGAUUAAUCAUUUUGAAGUAUGUAUUCUGGACUCACUUUGAAUAUAGACUAGAAUUUUAUCAUUUCAGAAUUAAUGAGGGAGCAUUGACUUUUUCUUUGCAGUUGUGGGCAGAGGAAAGACAUAUGUGUUCUGGACUCAUCUGUAAUGUAGUUUGCUUUGGGAUGUAAUGGACUCAUCUAUUGUAUUCUAUAGACUGGAAUGUAGUCUGAUGAGCAUAGGAAUUUUAGUUUGAGUCACAAUGGUCAGCAAACAAUUAAUGCACGGAAUAUAGAUUGAAUUAGGCCGAUAAACUGCCCGAUAAGAGCUAAACCGAUACCAAUCCGCCCGAUAUCUUAUCGGUUGGCUAGCGGAUUAAUACAUUUAAAAGCCGAUAACCGAUAAGCCAAACCGUUAAGAGUAAAUAAUCGCCCAAUACACCCGAUAAGCAGCCCUAAAUGACAUGUGUAAUUUGUCAUAGAAAUUUGAUACAUAUAAAUAACAAAAGAAAAAAAAAUACAUUUAAAGAAAAAAAACCCAUUCCUUACUUUUCUUUCCAACAAAUUAAACACAAAAUACAAAUAAGAAACAACAAAGAACUCCUCUCAUGUGACCUUUCGUCGGAAAAUUAAUCUCCAAUCAAAACUGAAAGAAAGGAUUCUAUUGGAAUCUUCAACCUUCUCUCUCCACUAUUUUCUUGAUUAUAAAUUCGGGCUUAUAUCUACUGAUUCAAAUAAUAGGUUGUUGUUUAUGUGUUUCUAUUGGAAGGAAGGUGUUUUCGAAGUUGUGUUUGUUGCAUUUUUUUUGCUUCUUUCAGUUGGGCUCGGGACUGGUAUUGGGUCGAUGAAACUAGGCUGAGCUUCGGAGGUUUUGGACAGUGGAGUGUUAUGGUGAAAGGUGAUAGUUCAG
RNAcentral lists this long non-coding RNA (1718 nucleotides) under Nicotiana tabacum (common tobacco). RNAcentral's name for it is "long non-coding RNA (NTAB_LNC013246)". The record is from RNAcentral. Lineage: Eukaryota; Viridiplantae; Streptophyta; Magnoliopsida; Solanales; Solanaceae.